This 837-nucleotide long non-coding RNA is filed under the name Populus tremula. RNAcentral describes it as "long non-coding RNA (PTRE_LNC002204)". Lineage: Eukaryota; Viridiplantae; Streptophyta; Magnoliopsida; Malpighiales; Salicaceae. The record is from RNAcentral.
GGCCUAAUUAAGUCUAUCAUUUCAAAGAAAGAAGACAGAUGAGAAGAUUUCGCGUUUACGGUGAUCACAAGUCCUCUCCAUCCUCUUCAUACAUCAAGGUCAUGUGUUUUUUCCAUAAAGGUUACAUGAUGUGGUUCUAGUACCUGAUUUUCACGGAAAACUCACAUGGACUAACAUGAAAUGCCACCAUUUCGAAUUUGCAGUCCUUGAUUUCUAACAAGAAGUAAGGUGGUGAGCCAUGAAUGUCAUCUUGAUAUUGACUUUCUACACACAAUCAAGCUAUCCAUGUGUAUAUGCCAUUACUAUGGCCCUUUGCCUAAUUUAUAUGUCAGUUUCCAUUUGACAUAAAAGUUGAAACAGUUUAUUCUAUUAAUUUUUACUAUAUUGGCAAGCCAUGUGUGAUGUGCGUGUGUGUAUAUAUAUAUGAGAUAGCCUUUCCAUUUGUGUAUACUAUUCACCUUGCAAUAGAUACCAUUUAGAGAGCAGAUUCAAUAUAUAUAUAUAUAUAGUUGUUCGUCUUUUAUCAUCUUAUAAACCACCUUACACUACCUUCUCUCCACCCACCCCCUUUUUUUAAAAAAAAAAUUCCUAAUCACAGGAAAAAGAAUUAAUGUUAAAUAAAUAUGUCGAGGGAUGUGAGAGAAUAUUCUAGUACUCUUCAUAAUUUUUAAGGUUCAACCAAAGAACUAAUUAAAGUAAAUAAAACACAAGAUUUAUCAAGUUUGGUUUUAUAUAUUAAUUGCACCAAUCACACACACCGAUUACGAAAAGCUUCCAAACAUAUAUAUUAUUAAUGGGGUAGCAACAAAAAUAUAUAUUAAUCAUUAUCAGUCUAGA